RNAcentral lists this ribosomal RNA (253 nucleotides) under uncultured bacterium. RNAcentral's name for it is "partial 16S ribosomal RNA". It matches the Rfam family "Bacterial small subunit ribosomal RNA", at positions 524 to 776 of the family's 1533-position model. The record is from RNAcentral.
UACAGAGGGUGCGAACGUUGCUCGGAAUUACUGGGCGUAAAGCGCGUGUAGGCGGCUAAGUAAGUCGGGCGUGAAAUCCCACGGCUCAACCGUGGAAGUGCACUCGAAACUGCAUAGCUAGAGUCCUGGAGAGGAAGGUGGAAUGCUUGGUGUAGAGGUGAAAUUCGUAGAUAUCAAGCGGAACACCGGUGGCGAAGGCGGCCUUCUGGACAGUGACUGACGCUGAGACGCGAAAGCGUGGGGAGCAAACAGG